GACGAACGCUGGCGGCGUGCCUAAUACAUGCAAGUAGAACGCACAGUUUAUACCGUAGCUUGCUACACCAUAGACUGUGAGUUGCGAACGGGUGAGUAACGCGUAGGUAACCUGCCUGGUAGCGGGGGAUAACUAUUGGAAACGAUAGCUAAUACCGCAUAAUAUUAAUUAUUGCAUGAUAAUUAAUUGAAAGGUGCAAUUGCACCACUACCAGAUGGACCUGCGUUGUAUUAGCUAGUAGGUGAGGUAACGGCUCACCUAGGCGACGAUACAUAGCCGACCUGAGAGGGUGAUCGGCCACACUGGGACUGAGACACGGCCCAGACUCCUACGGGAGGCAGCAGGAGGGAAUCUUCGGCAAUGGACGAAAGUCUGACCGAGCAACGCCGCGUGAGUGAAGAAGGGUUUCGGAUCGUAAAGCUCUGUUGUAAGAGAAGAACGGGUGUGAGAGUGGAAAGUUCACACUGUGACGGUAUCUUACCAGAAAGGGACGGCUAACUACGUG
This 505-nucleotide ribosomal RNA is filed under the name uncultured bacterium. RNAcentral describes it as "partial 16S ribosomal RNA". It matches the Rfam family "Bacterial small subunit ribosomal RNA", at positions 28 to 507 of the family's 1533-position model. The record is from RNAcentral.